AAGUCGUAACAAGGUUUCCGUAGGUGAACCUGCGGUCUCUGAUGACACUUUUCAAUUCACCAAAGGACCCAGGAGAAGCUGAGAUUGCUUGCACUACCGCUACAAUUGCAACUGUAAUUUCUCGACUCAGAAGUCCCUAAAUCAAACUGUUCGCCAUGAUUUACUAGGGAUUGCUGGAGGAAGACGGGCUGCAAGAGCAGUGCUAAAAGUUCACAGGGGGGGUUUAACGUUGGAUACGUGUUAAUGAUCCUUGAAGGCCCUACGGCUUCACUGGAGGACAUCACGUCCGGUGACUAGAUGCUCGGGUCCCCAUGCCCCCUUACAACCCCAUGUCUCGCAGCCGGGUCGCGAUAAUACGCUUGACCUAAAAAUAAAAACCGAACAACUGUUAACAAUGGAUAUCUUGGUUCUC
RNAcentral lists this unclassified non-coding RNA (412 nucleotides) under fungal sp. Its description in RNAcentral is "partial internal transcribed spacer region". The record is from RNAcentral. Lineage: Eukaryota; Fungi.